AAGUCGAACGAUGAAGCCNAGCUUGCUGGGUGGAUUAGUGGCGAACGGGUGAGUAACACGUGAGUAACCUGCCCUUAACUCUGGGAUAAGCCUGGGAAACUGGGUCUAAUACCGGAUAGGAGCGUCCACCGCAUGGUGGGUGUUGGAAAGAUUUAUCGGUUUUGGAUGGACUCGCGGCCUAUCAGCUUGUUGGUGAGGUAAUGGCUCACCAAGGCGACGACGGGUAGCCGGCCUGAGAGGGUGACCGGCCACACUGGGACUGAGACACGGCCCAGACUCCUACGGGAGGCAGCAGUGGGGAAUAUUGCACAAUGGGCGAAAGCCUGAUGCAGCGACGCCGCGUGAGGGAUGACGGCCUUCGGGUUGUAAACCUCUUUCAGUAGGGAAGAAGCGAAAGUGACGGUACCUGCAGAAGAAGCACCGGCUAACUACGUGCCAGCAGCCGCGGUAAUACGUAGGGUGCGAGCGUUAUCCGGAAUUAUUGGGCGUAAAGAGCUCGUAGGCGGUUUGUCGCGUCUGUCGUGAAAGUCCGGGGCUUAACCCCGGAUCUGCGGUGGGUACGGGCAGACUAGAGUGCAGUAGGGGAGACUGGAAUUUCUGGUGUAUCGGUGGAUUGCGCAUAUAUCAUUGAUGAACA
The sequence is a ribosomal RNA, 637 nucleotides long. It matches the Rfam family "Bacterial small subunit ribosomal RNA", at positions 59 to 708 of the family's 1533-position model.